Molecule: ribosomal RNA, 478 nt
Filed under: uncultured bacterium
Lineage: Bacteria
Description: partial 16S ribosomal RNA
Rfam family: Bacterial small subunit ribosomal RNA
Source: RNAcentral
GAUGAACGCUGGCGGCGUGCUUAACACAUGCAAGUCGAACGGGAAACCUUUUAAUGAAGCUUCGGCAGAUUUAGCUGGUUUCUAGUGGCGGCCGGGUGAGUAACGCGUGGGUAACCUGCCUUAUACAGGGGGAUAACAGUCAGAAAUGACUGCUAAUACCGCAUAAGCGCACAGGACCGCAUGGUCCGGUGUGAAAAACUCCGGUGGUAUAAGAUGGACCCGCGUUGGAUUAGCUUGUUGGUGGGGUAACGGCUCACCAAGGCGACGAUCCAUAGCCGGACUGAGAGGGUGAACGGACACAUUGGGACUGAGACACGGCCCAGACUCCUACGGGAGGCAGCAGUGGGGAAUAUUACACAAUGGGGGAAACCCUGAUGAAGCGACGCCGCGUGAAGGAAGAAGUAUCGCUGUAUGUAGACUUCUAUCAGCAGGGAAGAUAGGGACGGUACCUGACUAAGAAACCCCGGCUAACUACGUG